AAACUGCCUUCUGGGGAGGGAGUUUGUAUUUGAGAGGCAGUACCUGAACUGAAUUACAAGUCUGUUGUAAGAGUGAUACAGCAAGAUAAUAGUACUGACUUCAGCUCAACCUGCUGUAAUAGGGUGGACAAUCAGAGCCAGUAACCACCUCAUGGUAGUUGCAUCAGCUGUGGAGAAAGCUCUGGAUUUUCAUUUAUUCCAACAGAAAGGAAACAAGUGUCA
Lepidothrix coronata (blue-crowned manakin) is the source of this 222-nucleotide long non-coding RNA. RefSeq lists it as uncharacterized. Lineage: Eukaryota; Metazoa; Chordata; Aves; Passeriformes; Pipridae. The transcript is spliced from 3 exons. The record is from RefSeq and is a predicted model, not a curated record.